CCCUUAGAUGUUCUGGGCCGCACGCGCGCUACACUGAUGCAUUCAACGAGUCUAAAACCUGGUCUGAUAGGGCUGGGUAAUCUUUUGAAUGUGCAUCGUGAUUGGGAUAGAUGAUUGCAAUUCUUCAUCUUCAACGAGGAAUGCCUAGUAAACGCAAGUCAUCAGCUUGCAUUGAUUACGUCCCUGCCCUUUGUACACACCGCCCGUCGCUCCUACCGAUUGAAUGAUCCGAUGAAUACCAUGGAUUGAGAGUACGAAUAGGUUCGCUUAUUUCUGCUGCUCGAGAAGUGGAGUAAAUCUUAUCAUUUAGAGGAAGGAGAAGUCGUAACA
Molecule: ribosomal RNA, 330 nt
Filed under: uncultured eukaryote
Lineage: Eukaryota
Description: partial 18S ribosomal RNA
Rfam family: Eukaryotic small subunit ribosomal RNA
Source: RNAcentral